Molecule: long non-coding RNA, 1498 nt
Organism: Leopardus geoffroyi (Geoffroy's cat)
Lineage: Eukaryota; Metazoa; Chordata; Mammalia; Carnivora; Felidae
Exons: 3
Source: RefSeq, a predicted model, not a curated record
AGAGAAAGAGAGAGAGGAGAGGGAGAAAGAGAGAGGGGUGGACCCUGCUGGAUGGAGAUUCUGUUUUCUCCUUGCUAAAAUAGAAGUGAUUUGCAGGCUUUCCCUAUGGAAUCCAGUUUGACUCUCCCCAGAGCUAAACACAGGCACACUAACCCCAAAGGGAGGAGGCGGGGCUCGCGCCUCACGGCCCCGCCCCUUAAUUUGCAUAACGCCAUCCUUCCGCCAAGCUGCAGCCAAUCGCGGCUUACGAAGCCUUCUGGCUCGCCGCGCUGGGCCACGCUCCCUCAUUAACAUCCCUCUCCGGGUGGCGCAGGGGAGCUAGCCAAAGUUCCUCGCAAAGUGGCGAGCGAAGGAUCGCUGAGCACCAGCGUCUGUGCUGGGAAGGAGCUGGGCACAGCUGGGCAGAGCCGGGCUGGAGAGGGGAAACAGACGGAAGGGAAGGGCGAUAUUUUUCUCAGGGAUUUGAACUGGGGUCUGCAUCCUGGUCGUUGCGGUCCUUUUAGCAUCCUCGCCACGCCCUGAGCGCGCUCGCGGUUCACAGGCUGCGCCCUCCCAGGGCCGAUGCUGCGUCCUGCUCCGCUGUUCUGGGACGUCGGGGGCAAAAGUGGAGGAGACGGGAGAGCCCGGGCAGAAAAAGCAGGAAGCGCGUCCCAGAGGAGGAGCUGAGGUUUUGAUUUGCCCGUGGCGUGUGGCUAGCAAGCAGUGGGGCUUGACUGUAACCCAGGAGCCACACUGCCUAUGAAAUUAAGAAAGCUGUCUGCUACCUUACUUACUUCUGUCAACCAAUUCUUGGUUUCUCUCUUCUCUGGACACCCAAAAAAUAUUAUGACCCUCUCUUUGAAGUUAGUUUGGUCAUCUGACUUCAUUGAGCCAGAGCAUUUCCUUAAAGGAACAAAGAGGAAAGAGUGACUAGAAGACUCUAGUGCAGAGUUGGUCUGUGGAGAACUGCUGUAUGUCUUAUUCCUGGGCCAUUGCUAGACUGCAUUUCUCAACAUCCCUAGCAGCUGCUUUGGCUAUAUGACUGAGUUCUGGCAAAUGAAAAGUAGGUGGGAUUGAUGGAAGCCAUUUUCAGAUAUAGUUCAUAAAAACCUCCCACACAGUCUUGCACUCCUCUUCCUCCCCCUCUGCGGACUAAUCAGAAAAUCCAAGGUGGUAUUCCAAUGCUAGGGCAGGCUUAGCAAAGGUUUUCUGUCAAGAUCCUGAUAGGCAAUAUUUUACAAUUCAAGAGCCUGUUGCAACUACCUUAGUGUGAGAGCAGCUACAAAGCACAGGUGAUACAUGAUGAAUCGGUGUGGCUGUGUCUCAAUAAAACUUUAUUUACAAAGAAAAAAAUCAUAAAAACUCUAGAUCAAAUUUGGUCCAUGAGUCAUAGGUUGCUGACCCUGCUCUAGGAUAUGUCAGAAUCACAACAUAGAAGGAUUCUGGCCCCUAAAUGACUGCAUGGGGAAAUAAACUUUAUACAAGCAAGAAAUAAACUUCUCUUAUGUUAAGUCAUUGA